GAGGGUAUAGCUCAGUGGUAGAGUGCGUGCUUAGUACGCAUGAGGUCCUGGGUUCAAUUCCCAGUACCUCCA
Molecule: transfer RNA, 72 nt
Filed under: Camelus bactrianus (Bactrian camel)
Lineage: Eukaryota; Metazoa; Chordata; Mammalia; Artiodactyla; Camelidae
Also listed under: 1 other name
Rfam family: tRNA
About the family: Transfer RNA (tRNA) molecules are approximately 80 nucleotides in length. Their secondary structure includes four short double-helical elements and three loops (D, anti-codon, and T loops).
Source: Rfam by way of RNAcentral